AUCCUUACCUGGCAGGGGAGAUACCAUGAUCGUGAAGGUGGUUUUCCCAGGGUGAGGUUUAUCCCUUGCACUCCAGAUGUGCUGACCCUGUGAUUUCCCCAAAUAUGGGAAACUCAAUUGCAUAAUUUGUGGCAGUGGGAACCAUGUUCUCACUAUUCCCU
Rhinopithecus bieti (black snub-nosed monkey) is the source of this 161-nucleotide small nuclear RNA. Its record names the gene U1. It matches the Rfam family "U1 spliceosomal RNA". From Rfam's summary of the family: U1 is a small nuclear RNA (snRNA) component of the spliceosome (involved in pre-mRNA splicing). NCBI's taxonomy places the organism in Eukaryota, Metazoa, Chordata, Mammalia, Primates, Cercopithecidae. The record is from Ensembl.